Molecule: ribosomal RNA, 395 nt
Filed under: uncultured bacterium
Lineage: Bacteria
Description: partial 16S ribosomal RNA
Rfam family: Bacterial small subunit ribosomal RNA
Source: RNAcentral
AUACGUAGGGAGCGAGCGUUGUCCGGAAUUACUGGGUGUAAAGGGAGCGUAGGCGGGAGUGCAAGUCAGAUGUGAAAUACAUGGGCUCAACCCAUGGGCUGCAUUUGAAACUGCAUUUCUUGAGUGAAGUAGAGGUAAGCGGAAUUCCUGGUGUAGCGGUGAAAUGCGUAGAUAUCAGGAGGAACACCGGUGGCGAAGGCGGCUUACUGGGCUUUUACUGACGCUGAGGCUCGAAAGCGUGGGGAGCAAACAGGAUUAGAUACCCUGGUAGUCCACGCUGUAAACGAUGAGUACUAGGUGUGGGGGGACUGACCCCUUCCGUGCCGCAGUUAACACAAUAAGUAAUCCACCUGGGGAGUACGGCCGCAAGGUUGAAACUCAAAUGAAUUGGCGGG